GACGAACGUUGGCGGCGUGCUUAAUACAUGCAAGUCCACUGAAGCAGUGGUAGCAAUAUCGCUGUGGAGGUGGCGCACGGGUGAGUAACACGUAGGUAAUCUGCCUUCAGGUCUGGCAUAACUCCGGGAAACCGGGGCUAAUAGCAGAUGAUGCAGCGGCUCGACAUCGAGACAGUUGUUAAAGCUAUGGCGCCUGAAGAUGAGCCUGCGUCUGAUUAGCUAGUUGGCGGGGUAACGGCCCACCAAGGCAACGAUCAGUAGCUGGUCUGAGAGGAUGAUCAGCCACACUGGAACUGAGACACGGUCCAGACUCCCACGGGAGGCAGCAGUAAGGAAUAUUGCUCAAUGGGAGAAAUCCUGAAGCAGCAACGCCGCGUGAGGGACGAAGGGCUUUUGCUUGUAAACCUCUGUAGUGAGAGAAAAAAAUCCCAAUCUUUGGGACAUGAUGGUAUCUCAAAAGUAAGCCCCGGCUAACUACGUG
This 481-nucleotide ribosomal RNA is filed under the name uncultured bacterium. Its description in RNAcentral is "partial 16S ribosomal RNA". It matches the Rfam family "Bacterial small subunit ribosomal RNA", at positions 28 to 507 of the family's 1533-position model. The record is from RNAcentral.